AGCGAACGCUGGCGGCAGGCUUAACACAUGCAAGUCGAGCGGGCACUUUCGGGUGUCAGCGGCGGACGGGUGAGUAACGCGUGGGAACGUGCCCUCUGGUUCGGAAUAACUCAGGGAAACUUGAUCUAAUACCGGAUACGCCCUUUUGGGGAAAGGCUUGCUGCCGGAGGAUCGGCCCGCGUCUGAUUAGCUAGUUGGUGAGGUAACGGCUCACCAAGGCGACGAUCAGUAGCUGGUCUGAGAGGAUGAUCAGCCACACUGGGACUGAGACACGGCCCAGACUCCUACGGGAGGGAGCAGUGGGGAAUAUUGGACGAUGGGCGCAAGCCUGAUCCAGCCAUGCCGGGUGAGUGAUGAAGGCCUUAGGGUUGUAAAGCUCUUUUAUCCGGGACGAUAAUGACGGUACCGGAGGAAUAAGCCCCGGCUAACUUCGUG
Molecule: ribosomal RNA, 435 nt
Filed under: uncultured bacterium
Lineage: Bacteria
Description: partial 16S ribosomal RNA
Rfam family: Bacterial small subunit ribosomal RNA
Source: RNAcentral